GGGGGCUCAGGGUGUGGGUGUGGAGAAGAGGCAGGGUCCCAUAGGGGAAGUGUAGAUGUGACACUGACCUGCCUUUCUCUGGGUGCUGCCCAGGUGAGAGGUAAAAAUCCUGAGCCCCGCUGGCAUGUCCAGGACCCAGCUCCCCGGCCCAGGCCAUUGCAGAAUAGCCACUGCCCUGUAUCUAGGUCAGAGGAGAACCAGAGGCUAAGUGGCCUGAGCACAUGACCUCUGGAAUUCGAAUCCUGCCUCUAGUGCCUUUGUGAACUUGGAUUGCGCAAUGGAAAUCAUUGAGGUUUACUGAACAUUACUAAACAAAACUGGGAAAGAGAUGGACGGUAUGACUCAACAGCUUUCCCUUCCAGAGUGACUGCUCUGUUCUUGUGUAACUGCGAAUCAGCCAAUGUGCCAUUGUAGCCUGUGGCAGCCAGGAUCAAUCAGGAUCUCAGCAGAGAAGUGUGUUGCUUUGAGAGCUCUUCCCAGAGAUCAGAGUCCCCUGCAAGCGGCCACUGGUACGGGCCCUGCCCAGAGAGACAGCAAGCCUACCUUGGUUACUGCUGCUCUGGGGCCCUGCUGCAGUAGUUCUGUGGCAUUGUCUGCAGCGUGGAGAGCGAGAUUCAUGCGGCGUAUACCAGGUCCCUGCAUGAGCCAAAGCGGUGGGAACCUGGGCGGAGAUAUAAAUCCAAGUCUCUGUGAAAUCCUGGACAAGUCACCACGGCAGAGGCUCAAAGGCAGGCUUGGCUAAGGCUGACCUGCCAGCCUGCCUCAUGCAUGGCUUCCCUUUUGCAUCCAAGAACCCACCUCCAGCUUACUUGGUCACACUUUAGGAAACAAGUUUCAUGUUUCAGGCAGAUACAGGGAGCAGAUGUUACCAAUUUCUGUGUGAUCACAAGGAUGUGUUUACAAGAAGGGACAUUCCUCAGAUCCAGUCCUACUAAAACAUGGAUCGAGCCACCAGAAACAAAUGCCACCUAAUGCCUACACAAAACACCUGGGUCUGAUCCUGUUACAUUAAGACCCAUUCACACCAUUCUGGCCUGAGGCCUAGAAAAAUCAGGUAUUUCAUACCGAUACAUCUCUGUGAAAUGAUGAUUGAUACUGUCAUUAUGUGUGAAAGAGGAAACGAUUUCUAAAGUUUUUGAAGAACCCUAAUUUAGGGAUGAAAGUUAACGAGCUCUCCGGUAAUGCAGUUUUUGAUGUCGGAGUUGUUUUGGAGAGUAAAUGAAGAAUUGACAACACAGUGGCCAUGAGGAUACAUCUUGAAUGUGGUUGACAAAAGAUUUGAUAAAGUACAUACUGUUAAAUGGGCACAUUUAAACUGUUAGACAGGAGAGAAAAAGAAAUAUAAGUGCCCAACACGUCCAUUUCUACCAGUCAAAAACAGCUCACGUUCUCUUUUACCUUUGUUGGACUUCUUUGGGUGAGUUCAGUCCCAGACUCCAUACACAGGAUCCUUCACAUUGUCUUUCUUUGUGGCCAUAAAUAAUGUAUAUAGUGUUAAGCGGAGUUCAAUGACAGACUCCACUUUACCUAACAUGGACAAGACUAUUAGGAAAUAGGACUCCAGGUUAGAUGCAACAUUACGUUCUCUUGUUAAUGUAGUAACUGAACCCAGUGAAAAUAUAUGCACCCUUAUCUUCAAGGUGAAAGGCUGCAAGAACAAUCUGGUCCCCACUGCAUGACCGUGUCCUGGGCAGGUUAUACCGGCCUCUGACAAGGAUCUGAGUAUUCCAUGACUCUUGCAUAUUAACUGCAAUUGUCCUGCCAAUAAGGUAUUUUUGGACUCAAUUAAAAUGUAUUGAAUUGAGUCAGAUUGGCUGGAUGGGACUUGAGGAGAAACAAGGAAGUGGUGAGCCCUUCAGGAUGGGAGGAGACUGCAGGGGAUGAUGCUAGAGGCACCGGGUGUUUUGACAUCUUAAUUGAGGACCUGUCAAUCCUGGCUGCAACCCUUAGGCCAUGUCUACACUACCACUUCUGUUGGCAAAACUUAUGUUGCUCAGGGAGCUUCUCCCACCAACAUAGCUACUGCUGUUCAUUGGGGGCAGUUUAAUUAUAUUGACAGGAGAGCUCUCUCCUGGCAACACAAGAGAUCUUACAGCGGCAUAGCUCUGUGCUGCGCAAUGCUUCUCCACCUGCAGUACAAUGCAUUCGUCAUCAAGGAAUCAAUCCUGCAAGGUGCUGCGCAGUCUGACCCUGAUCCAGCAAACCAAUGGGACUAUGCACAUGCUCAAACUUAAACACAUGCUUACAUGCUUUGUUGGGUUGGGAUCAAAGUGCUCACCGCUUUGCAGGUUCAAGAUCUUGGCGAAAUAUUGAUAUCGAAUUCAAUUCUGGGCUAAGGCCAUGAUCAAUAUUUAGACACACAGUAAGUCUGAUGUUCUAAGUUUUAAAAAUGUUAAACCAGAAACACACAAAAUAUUAUAAAGCCAGUAAAAAAAUUAAAAUUGGUUAAUUUUAAAUGCUUCUAACUUGUAAUUUAAUCAAUAAAAUAAUUUAAAAUGUUCACAGAAAUUUGUCUAGAUGUUUCACAGAGUGGUGAGAGUUUGGAAAGAAAUAUUUUGUUCUUAGAAAAAAAUCCCUGGAAUUAGUCCCCGACAUUAUUUAAAGCAAACUUCCACCAUAUGGAAUCAAGGCCACCAUCUCCAUAAUUAAACUUUGUUAUAUCCUUGAUACCACUUGAAACAGCUGAUUCAGUCCUUACUGAUCUCAAUUUGCACAUUUUUGGACAGUGGAUUCUCAGAGAAGCAGUGUAUUUUAAAGACUUGUAAGCAGGAGCUAGCUCUGAAUGGAAGAGCUAGUGGAGACACUGACUGUGCCCAAGCUCUGUGCCUGGUGGUGGGAUUAUUUGUCACAUGGAGUGGAUGUGGAAUUUGGAGAAGAUGCCCUCUUCCCUGUGCAUGAGGCCUAGCAGACUGGUCACACACAGAGUCAGCAGGAGCAGCUGCAAGAUGGGAAAACAUGGGAGAAGAGGGGGCGGAAGGAGCUGAACUUGCCAUUUCCCUCCUGAGGAGCUUUGGAGAAUGCAGUCCUUGUAGCUAAGUAAGUGUAACACAUUGUAUAACAAGCACAACAUUGUUCACAUUAUUGAUUUGGGGCUUAAUCCAGCUUCAACAGAAUCAGUGGGAGCCUGGCCUGGCCCUUAUUCCUGGGUCACAGACAUUUUGCCAGACUGAGGGCUGAAUGGGGAAUUUGCCACGGACUGCAGGGAAUGCCCCUGUAACACUGCAUGCAGUGGCGGAGGGUGUGAGUGCCAACCUCAGGGCAGACUGUUAGGAAGCUGGGCACAAACCUCAAAUAGGUGGUGAGUUCGAUACUUAGACUCCACCAACCAAUUAUCAUGUGUAAACUCUUCAGACACUAUAACAGACUUAACAUGGAGUCACAGACAGUCCCCCCUUGGGUACCUGCAUCUAUCUCGCACCCACGUGAGCCUGCCUUUGUGAUAGAUGGACCCUGACACCAAGGAUCACAGCAAUAUUCAGGUUACUCCCAGCCUCAAAGGACCAGUGACUUACCCCAAUUGCAGGCCAAUUGCACCUCAGAUCGCACACCAAAGACAACGUCUGUAGCCAAUCCUAUAAUAAACUACCUACAGAUUCAUUAAAUAUGAAAGUGAAACCAGAGAGUUAUUUACAAGGUUAAAGGAGGUAAACAUAGAUACACAAAUGGGCUACAAUCUUAAGCUUCUAUACUCAACAAGCUCCGUAUGUCCUUUAGGGCGAACCCAGGCUAAGCAGCUGCGGAUCUCUUGCUUAUG
Non-coding RNA from Chrysemys picta bellii (western painted turtle), 3754 nucleotides. The record is from RefSeq and is a predicted model, not a curated record. NCBI's taxonomy places the organism in Eukaryota, Metazoa, Chordata, Testudines, Emydidae.